RNAcentral lists this ribosomal RNA (457 nucleotides) under uncultured bacterium. Its description in RNAcentral is "SSU rRNA". It matches the Rfam family "Bacterial small subunit ribosomal RNA", at positions 26 to 518 of the family's 1533-position model. The record is from RNAcentral.
AGAAUCAACGCUGGCGGCGUGCCUAACACAUGCAAGUCGCACGAGAAAGGGACUUCGGUCCUGAGUACAGUGGCGCACGGGUGAGUAACACGUGAAUAAUCUACCUCCGAGUGGGGAAUAACUGAGAGAAAUCUUAGCUAAUACCGCAUAACACUUACGAGUCAAAGCAGCAAUGCGCUUGGAGAGGAGUUCGCGGCAGAUUAGUUAGUUGGCGGGGUAAUGGCCCACCAAGACGAUGAUCUGUAUCCGGCCUGAGAGGGCGCACGGACACACUGGAACUGAAACACGGUCCAGACUCCUACGGGAGGCAGCAGUGGGGAAUUUUGCGCAAUGGGGGAAACCCUGACGCAGCAACGCCGCGUGGAGGAUGAAAUAUCUUGGUAUGUAAACUCCUUUCGAUGGGGAAGAUAAUGACGGUACCAUAGAAGAAGCCCGGCUAACUCGUGCCAGCAGCCGC